This 253-nucleotide ribosomal RNA is filed under the name uncultured bacterium. RNAcentral describes it as "partial 16S ribosomal RNA". It matches the Rfam family "Bacterial small subunit ribosomal RNA", at positions 524 to 776 of the family's 1533-position model. The record is from RNAcentral.
UACGAAGGGUGCAAACGUUGCUCGGAAUUAUUGGGCGUAAAGCGCACGUAGGCGGCUUUGUAAGUUGGAUGUGAAAUCCCUCGGCUCAACCAAGGAAGUGCAUUCAAAACUGCAAAGCUUGAGUACUUAAGAGGAUCGCGGAAUUCCCGGUGUAGAGGUGAAAUUCGUAGAUAUGGGGUGGAACACCGGUGGCGAAGGCGGCCAUCUGGACGACAACUGACGCUGAGACGCGAAAGCGUGGGGAGCAAACAGG